CACGUAGGGCGCAAGCGUUGUCCGGAAUUAUUGGGCGUAAAGAGCGUGUAGGCGGCUAGGUAGGUCCGUUGUGAAAACUCGAGGCUCAACCUCGAGACGUCGAUGGAAACCAUCUAGCUAGAGUCCGGAAGAGGAGAGUGGAAUUCCUGGUGUAGCGGUGAAAUGCGCAGAUAUCAGGAAGAACACCCGUGGCGAAGGCGGCUCUCUGGUACGUGACUGACGCUGAGACGCGAAAGCGUGGGGAGCGAACAGG
This 253-nucleotide ribosomal RNA is filed under the name uncultured bacterium. RNAcentral describes it as "partial 16S ribosomal RNA". It matches the Rfam family "Bacterial small subunit ribosomal RNA", at positions 524 to 776 of the family's 1533-position model. The record is from RNAcentral.